AUGACCUCAACACUUGCAGAGUUCUGCAGCCCAUGCCUGGGGCCAGAACAGCAGCUGACCUCUGCUGGGCCCAGCAGCUUACAAACAAAGCCCCUGACAGUAGCAACUCCAGCGCUGCUCCAACGGGUGUUUGUUAUUGAAACAGAAUCCUCUGCAGCACUCAGAGUUCACCUGUCAAACAAGCAGCUGAAAGAGGGAGAAGCAUCUUCGUCGUAUGCACUGGGCAUCCGCAGCACCUCAGGUAGGCACCAGGUGGGUCCCCGAGCUGUGAGUCCAGCGUGGCCUGCGUGUGGGAAGCAGGAGGCCCUCACACCUCUGCAACCCAGGACUUGGCUGCUUCGCCUGCCUCAAGGAGGUGGCACAGCUCUGCCACGCUCUGUCCAGCUUACCACUUCUCUAUUUCUAAUUUUGCGUCCCGGAAAACACAAAGGGCUCUCAAGAUAUUUUCUGCCAGAGCAUUCUGACUUCACAGUUCUCACUCUCUUCUUGUAUCUCUACCUCCACGUAUUUUCAGUGAUGCAGUUCCUCACUUUCAAAGGGCCUCUCCUCACGGGCACUGGCCACUUCAUUAGGACACAUCAUGUUUUUCAAGAGCUGCUCCAAAGCUCACCAGACCUGGACACUGCACACACUGAGUCACUAGAGGUGGCUGGUGGCAACCCUGUGCAUACGAGGGGCUCUCUCCGCUGGUGA
Molecule: long non-coding RNA, 693 nt
Filed under: Oryctolagus cuniculus (rabbit)
Lineage: Eukaryota; Metazoa; Chordata; Mammalia; Lagomorpha; Leporidae
Description: lncRNA (ENSOCUG00000031968.1)
Source: RNAcentral